CGGUAAUUCCAGCUCCAAUAGCGUAUAUUAAAGUUGUUGCAGUUAAAAAGCUCGUAGUUGAACCUUGGGCUUGGUUGGCCGGUCCGCCUUUUUGGCGAGUACUGGACCCAACCGAGCCUUUCCUUCUGGCUAACCUUUCGCCCUUGUGGUGUUUGGCGAACCAGGACUUUUACUUUGAAAAAAUUAGAGUGUUCAAAGCAGGCCUUUGCUCGAAUAUAUUAGCAUGGAAUAAUAGAAUAGGACGUUAUGGUUCUAUUUUGUUGGUUUCUAGGACCAUCGUAAUGAUUAAUAGGGACGGUCGGGGGCAUCAGUAUUCAGUUGUCAGAGGUGAAAUUCUUGGAUUUACUGAAGACUAACUACUGCGAAAGCAUUUGCCAAGGACGUUUUCAUUAAUCAAGAACGAAAGUUAGGGGAUCGAAGAUGAUCAGAUACCGUCGUAGUCUUAACCAUAAACUAUGCCGACUAGGGAUCGGGAGUUGUUCUUUUUUUGACGCACUCGGCACCUUACGAGAAAUCAAAGUCUAUGGGUUCUGGGGGGAGUAUGGUCGCAAGGCUGAAACUUAAAGGAAUUGACGGAAGGGCACCACCAGGAGUGGAGCCUGCGGCUUAAUUUGACUCAACACGGGGAAACUCACCAGGUCCAGACACAAUAAGGAUUGACAGAUUGAGAGCUCUUUCUUGAUUUUGUGGGUGGUGGUGCAUGGCCGUUCUUAGUUGGUGGAGUGAUUUGUCUGCUUAAUUGCGAUAACGAACGAGACCUUAACCUACUAAAUAGUGCUGCUAGCUUUUGCUGGUAUAGUCACUUCUUAGAGGGACUAUCGAUUUCAAGUCGAUGGAAGUUUGAGGCAACGNCAGGUCUGUGAUGCCCUUAGACGUUCUGGGCCGCACGCGCGCUACACUGACGGAGCCAGCGAGUAUUAACCUUGGCCG
This 930-nucleotide ribosomal RNA is filed under the name uncultured fungus. RNAcentral describes it as "SSU rRNA". It matches the Rfam family "Eukaryotic small subunit ribosomal RNA", at positions 577 to 1535 of the family's 1831-position model. The record is from RNAcentral. Lineage: Eukaryota; Fungi.